GCGUAUAUACUCGCAAAUAAAAUUGUUGGCCAAGAUACUGUCUUGCCCAGAAUUGAGUCCUCAGGUUCCACAUUCCUACAUUAUCCAGGGGUAUAUAUAUUGCUGUCCAUGAUCUUGGAUAAACCUGUCAAAGCCAAUACAAAAAUUCACAAGGCUUCACAUUUGUACUUCUUAUUAUCCAACAUUUCAAAAUGACAUUGAUAGAAUUAUUAUUCAUGGUGUCUUGAUAGAAUUAUUAUGUUUUUAUGGCUCUAUCCUUUGCCCUGCCACAGUGCAAAGCAUUCUUUGGAAUAGGAUAUUCGUCGCGGAAUGAUUGAACUGGUGUAUAUACUCGCAAAUAAAAUUGUUGCCCGAGGUAUUGCCUUGCCCAGAAUUGAGACCUCAGGUUCCACAUUCCUACAUUAUCCAGGGGUAUAUAUGUUGCUGUCCAUGAUCUUGGAUAAAUCUGUCAAAGCCAAUACAAAAAUUCGCAAGGCAUUACAUUUUGUACUUCUUAUUCAACAGUAGCAAAAUGACAUUGGGUAAUGAGUUCAUCAUUAAAUUCUAACCUG
This 551-nucleotide long non-coding RNA is filed under the name Nicotiana benthamiana. RNAcentral's name for it is "long non-coding RNA (NBEN_LNC005802)". Lineage: Eukaryota; Viridiplantae; Streptophyta; Magnoliopsida; Solanales; Solanaceae. The record is from RNAcentral.